Molecule: ribosomal RNA, 108 nt
Filed under: Prolemur simus (greater bamboo lemur)
Lineage: Eukaryota; Metazoa; Chordata; Mammalia; Primates; Lemuridae
Source: RNAcentral
GCCUAUGGCCAUACCACCCUAAAUGAGCCUGAUCUUGUCUGAUCUUGGAAGCUAAGCAGGGUUGGGCCUGGUUAGUACGUGGAUGGGAGAAGUCCUCUGAGAUAAGUC